RNAcentral lists this ribosomal RNA (253 nucleotides) under uncultured bacterium. Its description in RNAcentral is "partial 16S ribosomal RNA". It matches the Rfam family "Bacterial small subunit ribosomal RNA", at positions 524 to 776 of the family's 1533-position model. The record is from RNAcentral.
UACGUAGGGGGCAAGCGUUGUCCGGAAUUAUUGGGCGUAAAGAGCUCGUAGGCGGUUUGUUGCGUCGGCUGUGAAAUCCCGAGGCUCAACCUCGGGUCUGCAGUCGAUACGAGCAAACUAGAGUGUUGCAGGGGAGACUGGAAUUCCUGGUGUAGCGGUGAAAUGCGCAGAUAUCAGGAGGAACACCGGUGGCGAAGGCGGGUCUCUGGGCCGAAAUUGACGCUGAGGAGCGAAAGCGUGGGGAGCAAACAGG